UCAGCUCCCGCUUCUCCUCCCCCAAGCCAGCCGCCGCCCUCCUCAUCUCCCCGUCCAGCCGCCGCUUCACCUGCAUCCAUCUCUCCCCCAAUCCCCACCUGCUCCGGUCCCUUUCUCCUCCUCUACCCUGUCUCUCGGUUUUCUCCAUGGAUGUACCAUGGAGAGAGAGGCGGAGGGCAGGAGCUGCACCAUGGCUGGAGAGGCGGAGCUCGACGUGGAGGAGUACGCAGAGAAGCGGCAGACCGAUGUUCUCCCCCUCCUCCUCAACGCGCAGCAAGAGGAGCAGAUGGUGCCGCCAACUUGGGGGCGACACGUUGGCUGCCACUGCAGAGAUAGACGAGCUAGAUCUACUUGGAAAUCUGAAUUGUAGUGUAUACCAACCAAGUUGCAGAUUCCUUACAUGUUUAGGGAAGGCAAUCAACAAAAAAAUCUAGAAAAAAUAGAGGUUGCCAUUCAGGCGUGACAUUAUUGGAGCCAUCUCAUGGGGCUUUUUGUGUUGUCUCCUCAUAUUAACCUCACACAUGAUGCUGUACUUCAGGCCCUCGGGUGCUCGAUGUAUAGGCUAUGUUGUGUUCUUUUGCUUCUCUUCAUUACCUGUUGUUCAAUAUAGUGUUUUAUAAGCCAUUACCAGUUCAAAGGCCUAACCUUCACCAUAGGUUGGAUAAUUUGUCAUUGUGGAUAUGGAGAAAUGCUAGGUGUUACCAUCAGAUUUAUUUGAUGGAGUUUGGUUAUGUUACGUGACUUAUGUCUUUGACAUUCGACGGAAAUGAAUCAAUAAAAUGCAGUAUGCAGAAGACCUUGAUAUAUCAAACUAUAGUGACAUGUAAUCUGGCUUGCAACUGAGAAGUUUAACCAUGCUUGUGUGACACCGUCUGGGAUGUUCCCUUCUUAGCCCCUGCUAAGAGUGCAACAAUUAAAAAAAAUUAAGUGAUUCCCAGAUCAUAUUAUUUACCUUCAUUCAGGAAAUAGACUACUACAAGAAAUGACUACGUUGAGCAGCUCAUUGGUACCGCCACAAGAGUCAAUAUAUUAUUUGUGGAAAUAAGUCAAGGAAAGCGUAUAACUUAUCUGUCCAUGACAAUGAGGUAUUGAAAGCAAGCGAUUCUCUACUGAAAGUCAACUCAAUGGAAUGGUUGGGCAAGGAGGAAGAGGCUCCUGUGGUCGAUGUCGUUGGCAGCAGGUUGACAGUGGCAUUCAGCUCACGGAGGCAGGUCGACGUGGGUGACCACCUGGAGCAACUCGCACAUCAAAAAGAUGCACCAGGGUACAGAGGAGCUAAAGGACACACUGGUAUGACACAAGGCUCACUGGAACUGUCGGAAACGUCACCGGAGUGCUGUCGGAGUUGGAGAAGAUGAUGCCUGAUCUCCUCGGUUACUACGAGAUGGAGCAGGAAAUGAGGUCCCUGAGGAUCACAGAAGCAUGGGCAACAAAAAUGAUUCAGGCAGGUUCCUCUGACCUUUCUGUAGGAUGCUCACCUGCGGCAAUGGCGUGAAUGGCAGCUUGGGCGAUUUGGGGUUUGCAGAGGUCCGGGGAAGAAAGGAAAAGGAGAGCUAGGUCACGGGGAAGGUUUUUAAAGGUGAAGGGGGCGGUGUGGAUGGCCUGGUCAUCGAUGAACGGCGAGCAUCCUGCCGCUGCGCUGCCCGGUGGAGUGGUGCCACGAGGAAGACGACUGACUGAGGAGAGAGAAGUGCUUCUCCUGUUCCAUAAAUUAAUUGAGUACAAGGAAAAGGAUCGGAGGGGAUUCACUAGAACAUAAUACGUUAUUUCCUUUCCUGUUGUUUCUAAUUCACACAAGUUUCUGCCUAACAACUAAUGAGCAUAUAUUUGUUAUAUUAAUUGUGACAACCUGCAGUUUCAAUUUUACGGGUGCUUAUUAUUAGAUAAAGUAGUAAUAUGUAAAUUUCAUGGGAAGCUUAUUAAUUGCGAAUUUUAGAUACUGUAUUAUUUUUCGGCAGAUGUCUAUAUUUUGUACUUCCUCUGGUGUUGUAGGCCAUUGCUGCAUCGAAACAAUAGUGCAUUCCCAUAAGGUACUGAUCCGGUGUUCGGUCGAAUUUGAAUUGCUGUAGCUUUACCAAACUACUCAUACUAUUAUUUAGUAAUUAUAUAUUGAUAUGUCUAGGUAAUAAUCUUUAGCAAGAUUAGUUCUUCCUUUAAAGAUUUCGUACAUUCCUUACCAAGAUUCUAUUUUUCUAACAUUGAUGCAAAUGUAAUUGACUUGUAGUAUUCCAUAGGGACUAGAUAUUUCGAUGAAAUUGCAGAUCGAUGACAAGUGAAAUUCCUAGGGGUUCCUUGGUAUGCGCAACUAUUUUGUUCAGACUGUAACAACUUCAAACUGAAAUUUUUGUCUACUUUUGAUUAUUGAUACCCCAUACUGUUGGCAUCUGCACCAGUAUGGCAUCUCUGUUGUUGCUCUUGAAAUUACCAAAUACAGUUCCAUCCAAACCCAACCUUGGAAGUAUAAUUGGCUCAUGUUUAUGCUGAUGCUUACUGAGUGAGACUCCUCUUUCUAACCAUUAUUAUUAUGAGAUUGUAUUGAAUGUUCUCCAGGGAUGUCUCAUUUAACUACAUAGUUCACACAUAGCCUGUUUCUUUUCUGCAAUCAUUGGUACUCCAGGAUUUCCUCUUCAUUGGCUUGUUAAACUGCAGGUGCAGGUCAUUGCACAUGCCCCUGUGAAUCCAUUAGAAACACGCAUGCUAAAGUGGGAACAGAAAAGAGUGAUGGUUCCAGGCUUAAGUCCUCGGUGAAGAAAGCUAUGUUGGAUGUUGGGUGCAGAGACCAAGAACAAAAAGGAUUAGCUCUGUGCUCACAGGAUGGUGACGAAUAAUGACAUGGCAGCCCCUCCUACGAGUGCUGGACUAGACUGCAUACAGGUGCUGCUUCGUCAGGUCAAUUCUUCCACGCAAGACGGGGAGGCCUUCAUCGAGCUUCAUGGAACCCUUCGCUGCUCCUUGCUUCUUCCGGCGGUUCUCAUGAUUUCGUGUGUAUUAUCCUAAU
Molecule: long non-coding RNA, 2998 nt
Organism: Lolium rigidum
Lineage: Eukaryota; Viridiplantae; Streptophyta; Magnoliopsida; Poales; Poaceae
Exons: 12
Source: RefSeq, a predicted model, not a curated record